GUCUGUUUGAUUUUAUUUUAUAGAUUAACAAGAAUGUGUCCAUAGUACACGAAUGCCCCACUCGCACUAUCAUUUUCUAUGUUCAGUGGACCGUGAAAUUGGGGUCAAAACUUUAAUUUGGAAUUAAAAUUAGAAAGAUCAUAUCAUAGGGAACAUGUGUACUAAGUUUGAAGUUGAUGUAACUUUAACUUCAUCAAAAACUACUUUGACCAAAAACUUUAACCUGAACUUCGCACUAUCAUUUUCUAUGUUCAGUGGACCAUGAAAUUGGGGUCAAAACUAUAAUUUGGCAUUAAAAUUAGAAAGAUCAUAUCAUGGG
This 319-nucleotide long non-coding RNA is filed under the name Mytilus galloprovincialis (Mediterranean mussel). The record is from RNAcentral. Lineage: Eukaryota; Metazoa; Mollusca; Bivalvia; Mytilida; Mytilidae.